CGGCACGUAGCGCAGCCUGGUAGCGCACCGUCAUGGGGUGUCGGGGGUCGGAGUUUCAAAUCCUCUCGUGCCGACCA
This 77-nucleotide transfer RNA is filed under the name Escherichia coli. RNAcentral's name for it is "tRNA-Pro". It matches the Rfam family "tRNA". Rfam says of the family: Transfer RNA (tRNA) molecules are approximately 80 nucleotides in length. Their secondary structure includes four short double-helical elements and three loops (D, anti-codon, and T loops). Lineage: Bacteria; Pseudomonadati; Pseudomonadota; Gammaproteobacteria; Enterobacterales; Enterobacteriaceae. The record is from RNAcentral. RNAcentral also lists the same sequence under 1 other name.